RNAcentral lists this ribosomal RNA (444 nucleotides) under uncultured bacterium. RNAcentral's name for it is "partial 16S ribosomal RNA". It matches the Rfam family "Bacterial small subunit ribosomal RNA", at positions 354 to 796 of the family's 1533-position model. The record is from RNAcentral.
GUAGGGAAUAUUGGGCAAUGGUCGGAAGACUGACCCAGCCAUGCCGCGUGCAGGAAGACGGCCCUCUGGGUUGUAAACUGCUUUUAUCUGGGAAGAAAAAGGCCAUGCGUGGCAAAUUGCCGGUACCAGAUGAAUAAGCACCGGCUAACUCCGUGCCAGCAGCCGCGGUAAUACGGAGGGUGCAAGCGUUGUCCGGAUUUAUUGGGUUUAAAGGGUGCGUAGGCGGCUGAUUAAGUCAGCGGUGAAAGACUCCGGCUUAACCGGAGCAGUGCCGUUGAUACUGGUUAGCUUGAGUGUUGGAGGGGUACAUGGAAUUGAUGGUGUAGCGGUGAAAUGCAUAGAUACCAUCAGGAACACCGAUAGCGAAGGCAUUGUACUGGCCAACAACUGACGCUGAUGCACGAAAGUGUGGGGAUCGAACAGGAUUAGAAACCCCUGUAGUCC